RNAcentral lists this ribosomal RNA (429 nucleotides) under Bacteroidota bacterium. Its description in RNAcentral is "Bacteroidetes bacterium partial 16S ribosomal RNA". It matches the Rfam family "Bacterial small subunit ribosomal RNA", at positions 355 to 776 of the family's 1533-position model. The record is from RNAcentral. Lineage: Bacteria; Pseudomonadati; Bacteroidota.
UAGGGAGUCUUCCGCAAUGGACGCAAGUCUGACGGAGCAACGCCGCGUGAGUGAAGAAGGAUUUCGGUUCGUAAAACUCUGUUGUUAGAGAAGAACAGCGCAUAGAGUAACUGUUAUGCGUGUGACGGUAUCUAACCAGAAAGCCACGGCUAACUACGUGCCAGCAGCCGCGGUAAUACGUAGGUGGCAAGCGUUGUCCGGAUUUAUUGGGCGUAAAGCGAGCGCAGGCGGUCAAUUAAGUCUGAUGUGAAAGCCCCCGGCUCAACCGGGGAGGGUCAUUGGAAACUGGUUGACUUGAGUGCAGAAGAGGAGAGUGGAAUUCCAUGUGUAGCGGUGAAAUGCGUAGAUAUAUGGAGGAACACCAGUGGCGAAGGCGACUCUCUGGUCUGUAACUGACGCUGAGGCUCGAAAGCGUGGGUAGCAAACAGG